This 573-nucleotide ribosomal RNA is filed under the name uncultured bacterium. RNAcentral's name for it is "partial 16S ribosomal RNA". It matches the Rfam family "Bacterial small subunit ribosomal RNA", at positions 355 to 923 of the family's 1533-position model. The record is from RNAcentral.
UGGGGAAUUUUGGACAAUGGGCGAAAGCCUGAUCCAGCAAUGCCGCGUGUGUGAAGAAGGCCUUCGGGUUGUAAAGCACUUUUGUCCGGAAAGAAAUCCUUGGCUCUAAUACAGUCGGGGGAUGACGGUACCGGAAGAAUAAGCACCGGCUAACUACGUGCCAGCAGCCGCGGUAAUACGUAGGGUGCAAGCGUUAAUCGGAAUUACUGGGCGUAAAGCGUGCGCAGGCGGUUUGCUAAGACCGAUGUGAAAUCCCCGGGCUCAACCUGGGAACUGCAUUGGUGACUGGCAGGCUAGAGUAUGGCAGAGGGGGGUAGAAUUCCACGUGUAGCAGUGAAAUGCGUAGAGAUGUGGAGGAAUACCGAUGGCGAAGGCAGCCCCCUGGGCCAAUACUGACGCUCAUGCACGAAAGCGUGGGGAGCAAACAGGAUUAGAUACCCUGGUAGUCCACGCCCUAAACGAUGUCAACUAGUUGUGGGGAUUCAUUCCUUAGUAACGUAGCUAACGCGUGAAGUUGACCGCCUGGGGAGUACGGUCGCAAGAUUAAAACUCAAAUGAAUUGACGGGGUCAUA